RNAcentral lists this long non-coding RNA (2305 nucleotides) under Triticum aestivum (bread wheat). RNAcentral's name for it is "long non-coding RNA (TAES_LNC006965)". The record is from RNAcentral. Lineage: Eukaryota; Viridiplantae; Streptophyta; Magnoliopsida; Poales; Poaceae.
CCCAUCAUUUUAAACCUCAAUUAUCUUCACCAAACAAGGAAAAUAAAAUUGAUAACCUAUGAGGCAAUGAAGACAGCAUGGCCAAUCUCUGCUCUGUUUUCUGCACACCGGGUGAGCAUCAUGAACUGUUAUACUUGCCUUAAGAGUAUUUUUCAUUUAAUAAGAUGCUCACUUAUAUUUAUAUGAAUAAAUAAACCUUUCAGUUUCUUGUUGGUAAAAGAAAUCCCUGUCAUCCUUCCCGCCACAACCUGUUGUGGCCUUCAUGCCUUAGUAUGUGCCUGAUCCUUACAGAGUUGCAGGGCAACUACUAGACUCCAUGAGUUGGCAAAUAUAUAUUUAGAGGCGAAUAAGGACAUUUAAUCAUUUCAUGUACCACGAACAUCAUAGAAACUAGAUUGAGCGCGCGCAGAUAUGUAGAGUACAUAAUUUGAUACAUUUUCCUUUUAUUGAUCAUUUGGCUGAUGCUUCUCCUGCUGCCUGGAUUUUCUUCUAAAGAAAAGUGACAAUGAACACUGGCGAAACAUAUGACCAAGAGUCCACAGGACCUAGAUCAUCGACUCUGCCCAGGUUAGCUAUCUUUCUAUAACCAGUAUUUUUUUGGUUUGAUCAUUUCGCCAGACCAUGUGUCUUUGAUUUAAUUGAUAUGUUGUUUAUUCCUUUGAUUCAGUAUAAAUAGGCUGUAAACUUCGAGUCUAGGUAUUCCCCUAAUGCAACUGUAUAUGCUGUUGAAAACUGCAGGCCGCUCCAGCAGUAGUGAGGAUCCCUUACAGUAUGAUAAUUGAUAUGCUAACAGAACUAGGAUUACCAAAGGUUUAAUAUCGUUAGAAAAUAUAUGACGGCAGCAAGGCCUGUGUCACUGUCUUUUGUAGCACUCCUAUGCUACUCCAUGAUUGUGAAUCUACCCGUGCAUCCAUAUCUACAGUCCUUUCCAUAGAUGAUGAUGCAGCAGAGGACACAGUUGCUAUUGAAGCUAAAGGUGCUUGGAAAACGCAACCAACACAGAGAUCAGACUACAAUGAAAAUCACAUGAAGCGCCUCCAAACCUGAAUGAGCAGCUCAUGCACCUGCUCAACAUAGUGAAUGGGAGCAAAGAAAAGCUUGCCAGGGGUUGAUUCCUUGCCGUGAGGCACAUGAGGUCCUUCUGUAAACAAAUACAAAACUUGACCUCUAUAAUGCCCAAGACGCCAUAAGAUGAGGUCAUAAACACAGCUCUAGGCAAUAUCAGUGGUAGCAUUUUAAUUCUGCACAGUGAGCUAUGUAGUAGAUUUGCUGUCACUUGUGAUGUAACUCUUUUGAUGUGAAUCCUAAGUGAUGCAAUUUGUGCUUUGGGUGCAGGGGAGGCUGCUGAUGGGGGCUAACCUGGCUAUCGAGGGACAUGCUAGCGAGAUAUGCACAAGGGCAAUGUUUGGGCGUAUAUUUUAUGAGUGUGGCGCAUACCAGGUUUUAUAUGCGAAGAAGAACAGAUCAUAUCUUGCAAUGAUGGAGGGUGGGGAUGACUUUGACUGUGAGUGUGGGCAGUUCGCCCACAUGGGUAUACUACACACCCAUGUUUUUGAGGUAUUGUUUUCCUUAAAUUAGUAUAGUUUACAGUACUAGCAAUGCAAAUGUGGAGGGUUGGUACCAAAAAAUGAACAAUGUUGUUUUUAGAAAAUGUGGGUACUGGACUUUAUCCAUGUGAAGCAGAUCCCCGAGACACACAUACUAGCAUAGCACUAGUGAAAAUCUAAAUAGUACCUACAACCUCGGAAGCUUGCUAGGUGCGAGAAUUGUGGGGUUAAGGGCCACAGGAGAAACAACUGCACAGAACCAAUGGAUCUGAGAUUAGGGGGUGUCUGAUGCUGGUGUGAAGUGCAUGGCUGCAGCAGCAGCAUCAGUUCUGACUGAUGAAAACCAAGGAGAGCAAGGGUGUAAUCUAAAGAUAUGUUGAUGUGUUCUGGGCAUUUUCUAUUUAUGUUGUACUCAUGUACUGUGUGGUACCGUCCGGCAGUGAGGCUGGCUAUGGAUGUAUCUAUGCAGUGCAUUUCCAGGAUCAGGUGUUUCGAUGUAGAAUUAUUGUUAUUUUCACGUGAUCCAUGGCCCCACCUGGUGUGUGUGAUGCCGGUGACUAGAGUGGCAUGUUGCCUGUGACUCAAUUGCAGUGCUUCUCUGUGUUAUCUGAUACUGAAUUCUGAUGCUUGUUCAGGCAGACUUGUGGCGCUUGUUUGUGUCGCGUGAAACUGAAUUGUGUCACCUGAAGUUGUAUAGAGAAUAUCUAAAAUAAGUGGAAUCAGGGGUGAUGUGAUCAUUCGGCGUUGGGUAGCAUCAA